This 250-nucleotide ribosomal RNA is filed under the name uncultured bacterium. RNAcentral's name for it is "partial 16S ribosomal RNA". It matches the Rfam family "Bacterial small subunit ribosomal RNA", at positions 524 to 773 of the family's 1533-position model. The record is from RNAcentral.
UACGGAGGGUGCGAGCGUUGUCCGGAAUCACUGGGCGUAAAGGGCGCGUAGGCGGUCCCCUCAGCGGGCGGUGAAAGCCCGGGGCUCAACCCCGGGUCGGCCGUGCGAACUGGGGGACUCGAGCACAGUAGAGGCAGAUGGAAUUCCGGGUGUAGCGGUGGAAUGCGUAGAGAUCCGGAAGAACACCGGUGGCGAAGGCGGUCUGCUGGGCUGUGGCUGACGCUGAGGCGCGACAGCGUGGGGAGCAAAC